Molecule: unclassified non-coding RNA, 255 nt
Filed under: uncultured fungus
Lineage: Eukaryota; Fungi
Description: partial contains 5.8S ribosomal RNA, internal transcribed spacer 2, and large subunit ribosomal RNA
Source: RNAcentral
AACGCACAUUGCGCCCUUUGGCAUUCCGAGGGGCAUGCCCGUUCGAGCGUCAUUAAUCCCCUCAAGCCUGGCUUGGUAUUGGACGUCGGGGCCUCCCGCGUCUUCAUUUCGCCGGCUGGCCGUCGACCGACUUAGCGUUGUGACACAAGUCGCUAUCGAAGUCGGCGGACUGCGCCGUCAAAAGUUCUCUCGGACGUUAAUCAAUGUCCGGUAAAGGUUGACCUCGGAUCGGGUAGGAAUACCCGCUGAACUUAA